AACGAACGCUGGCGGCAUGCCUAACACAUGCAAGUCGAACGAGACCUUCGGGUCUAGUGGCGCACGGGUGCGUAACGCGUGGGAACCUGCCCUUAGGUUCGGAAUAACUCCCCGAAAGGGGUGCUAAUACCGGAUAAUGUCUUCGGACCAAAGAUUUAUCGCCUUUGGAUGGGCCCGCGUUGGAUUAGCUAGUUGGUAGGGUAAAAGCCUACCAAGGCGACGAUCCAUAGCUGGUCUGAGAGGAUGAUCAGCCACACUGGGACUGAGACACGGCCCAGACUCCUACGGGAGGCAGCAAUGGGGAAUAUUGGACAAUGGGCGAAAGCCUGAUCCAGCAAUGCCGCGUGAGUUAUGAAGGCCUUAGGGUUGUAAAGCUCUUUUACCCGGGAUGAUAAUGACAGUACCGGGAGAAUAAGCUCCGGCUAACUCCGUG
This 433-nucleotide ribosomal RNA is filed under the name uncultured bacterium. RNAcentral's name for it is "partial 16S ribosomal RNA". It matches the Rfam family "Bacterial small subunit ribosomal RNA", at positions 29 to 507 of the family's 1533-position model. The record is from RNAcentral.